GUGGAUUAGAUACCCUGGUAGUCCACGCAGUAAACGAUGAUUACUAGCUGUUUGCGAUACAAUGUAAGCGGCUGAGCGAAAGCGUUAAGUAAUCCACCUGGGGAGUACGUUCGCAAGAAUGAAACUCAAAGGAAUUGACGGGGGCCCGCACAAGCGGAGGAACAUGUGGUUUAAUUCGAUGAUACGCGAGGAACCUUACCCGGGCUUGAAAUGCAUCUGACCGGCCUUGAAAGAGGCUUUCCCUUCGGGGCAGAUGUGUAGGUGCUGCACGGUCGUCGACAACU
This 284-nucleotide ribosomal RNA is filed under the name uncultured bacterium. RNAcentral's name for it is "partial 16S ribosomal RNA". It matches the Rfam family "Bacterial small subunit ribosomal RNA", at positions 773 to 1060 of the family's 1533-position model. The record is from RNAcentral.